RNAcentral lists this transfer RNA (85 nucleotides) under Xanthomonas citri pv. fuscans. RNAcentral describes it as "tRNA-Arg". The record is from RNAcentral. Lineage: Bacteria; Pseudomonadati; Pseudomonadota; Gammaproteobacteria; Lysobacterales; Lysobacteraceae.
UGCGCCAGCUGGUCGGCUGGCGCGGCGGCGGUCUGCGGCGGUGUCGGCGCCGCGGGCGCUGCAGGUUCGCCGUCUGCCGGCGCAG